RNA transcript from Nyctereutes procyonoides (raccoon dog), 5266 nucleotides. It is a transcript of the gene named tRNA aspartic acid methyltransferase 1, with no coding region annotated. The transcript is spliced from 12 exons. NCBI's taxonomy places the organism in Eukaryota, Metazoa, Chordata, Mammalia, Carnivora, Canidae. The record is from RefSeq and is a predicted model, not a curated record.
CGGGGCCGGCGGAGGGAGGAGCGGACGGGAGCAGGCAGGCCCAGCGCCCAGGCGGCGGCGGCGGCGGCGGCGGCGGCGGCGGCGGCGGCGGCGGCGGGGGCAUGGAGCCCCUGCGCGUCCUGGAGUUGUACAGCGGCAUCGGAGGCAUGCACCAGGCGCUGAGGGAAAGCUGUAUACCUGCACAAGUGGUGGCUGCCAUUGAUGUAAACACUGUCGCUAAUGAAGUAUACAAGUAUAAUUUUCCUCACACACAGUUACUGGCCAAGACAAUUGAAGGCAUUACACUAGAAGAGUUUGACAAAUUGUCUUUCAAUAUGAUUUUAAUGAGCCCUCCCUGUCAACCAUUCACCAGAAUUGGCCUACAAGGUGAUGUGACUGAUCCAAGGACAAAUAGCCUCUUAUAUAUUCUAAAUAUUCUCCCAAGAUUACAGAAACUACCAAAAUAUGUUCUUUUAGAAAAUGUCAAAGGUUUUGAAGUAUCUUCGACAAGAGACUUAUUAAUACAAACGUUAGAAAAUUGUGGUUUUCAGUACCAAGAAUUUCUAUUAUCUCCAACCUCUUUUGGCAUUCCAAAUUCAAGGCUACGGUAUUUCCUUAUUGCAAAGCUUCAGUCAGAACCAUUACCUUUUCAAGCCCCUGGUCAGGUGCUGAUGGAGUUCCCUAAAACUGAAUCUGAAAAUCCAGAAAAAAAUACAAUAGAUGCAGAAAAUAAAAUUGAAAGAAAGAAAAUUGAACCAAAUGUUUGCUUUGAUAAGGGCAGACAGUGUUCUGGAAAAGAGACCAUUCUUUUUAAGCUCGAAACUAUACAAGAACUUGACCGGAAACAUCACCAAGACAGUGAUCUCUCUGUGCAAAUGCUAAAAGAUUUUCUUGAAGAUGAUGUUGACAUGAAUCAGUAUUUUUUACCACCAAAGUCAUUGCUGCGAUACGCUCUUUUGCUAGACAUUGUUAAGCCCACUUGCCGAAGGUCCACAUGCUUUACCAAAGGUUAUGGAAGCUACGUAGAAGGGACAGGAUCUGUGUUACAGACUACAGAGGAUGUGCAGAUUGAGGAUAUCUACAAAUCCCUUACCAAUUUGUCUCAAGAGGAAAAGAUAACAAAAUUGUUAAUGCUUAAACUUCGAUAUUUCACUCCUAAAGAAAUAGCAAAUCUCCUUGGAUUUCCUUCAGAGUUCGGAUUUCCUGAGAAGAUAACAGUGAAGCAGCGUUAUCGGCUACUUGGAAAUAGUCUCAAUGUGCAUGUAGUAGCUAAACUAAUCAAAAUCCUCUAUGAAUAAUUUAAAAAUAACUCUGAAAGAUGGUCGCAUUAUUUCUUCAUAUCCAGAUGUCAGAAGAAAAUGUCAGAAAAAUAAUCCUACCUUCUGAUUACUUCUCCACUGGAAGCUACAGAAAAUGGAGGUAAACAUUAUCUAAUUUUAUCUUUAAUUCUACCUCCAUCUGAACCCUGAAACUUCAUUGUCCUUUCUUCAUUUGUAAAUACUUUCCUUUAGUUUACUAUCAUCAGAUCUUGCCUUUGUCUUCCUUCUCUGCUUCUUGUAAGUUAAAUUUUCCAUCAAGUUCUAAGGAAUGUAGCUUGGCAGAUUUUAGGGAGGAAACUGCCCUCUGACCCCAAUUCAUGUGACUAUUCUGUGAAUUAGCUUUUUAAAAUUUUUCUUUUUCAGUAGACUUCUUGGAAUUAGGGUUUCUAAUCAAACUGUUUUGUAUAAUAAAUCCUGUCAUUUUUAUUUCAGUGACAAAAACAAGUAACAAAAAGAAGAAAAAUUAAAAGAAAUAAGACCAGAAAUAUCACAAGAUUAAAAUGAUAUUUUUAUCUUUAAAGGAUAAUCAUUUUGAUGUGUAGAAAUUAGAACCCUGUGCAUUGCUGGUAGAAAUGUAAAAUGGUGCAGCCACUGCAGAAGAUAGAUGAUGAUUCCUUUAAAAAAAUUAAACAUACAGUUAUCAUAUGACCCAGCAAUUCCACUUCUGGGUAUUUACCCAAAAGGAUUGAAAGUAAGGACUUGACCAGGUAUUUGUAUAUUAAUGUUCACAGUAGCAUUAUUCGCAAUAGCCAAAAUGUGGAAGCAAUCAAAGUGUCCAUCAGUGGAUGAAUGGAUAAACAAAAUGUGGUGUAUACAUACAGUGGAUUAUUAUUCACCCAUUGAAAGAAAGAAAUUCUGACAUAUGCAAUAACAUGGAUGAUCUCUGGGGAUAUUAUAGUUGGUGAAAUAAGCCAGACACAGAAGGGCAAAUUUUCUAUAAUUCCACUUAUAUGGAGUACAUGAAAGAAUCAGGUUCAUAGAGAUAGAAUGUAGACUAGACAUUACCAGGGCUUGGGGGCUGGGAGUUCAUGUUUAAUGGGUGCAGAGCUUCUGUUUGGGGUGGUGAAAAAGUUUUGGACAUAGAUGGUGGUGAUAGUUGCAUAGCAGUGUAAAUGUACUUAAUACUACUGAACUGUAUACAUAACAAUCCUUAAAAUGGCAAGUUUUAUGUUAUAUACAUUUUGCCACAAUUUAACAAAAAUACCCUAAUCAUUCCCCACCACCAUUUUUCAGAAAAACUCAUAGAUAAAUAUGGAUAUAGGGAAGUUGUAGGCCAAUGCAUAUACAUAUCAAUUAUCACACCUACAUUUUGUGUAUAGUAUUUAAAGACAAACCUUAGCACAAGUCUCAUAAAUUUUAGUACACAACAAUCUGAAAUUACUUUGUCACACUUUCAUUAGGUUCUCUUCACUGCUGAAAGAAUCUUACUAAUAAAAAGGUACAGAGUUUUACUAUGAUUAAGCUAUAAUUAUAGUGUCCUAUGCCCCAUUGAGCAAUGUUAGACAAAAUAAGUGUUGAGUUCCAGUGCACCAACUAUAAACCCAUGAAAGCUCUGUAGAGUGUUUUCUUCCUAAUUAUAAAACAGAAUAUUACUUUGUGAAUUUUUUUAAAUUAUUGAAGUAUAUUCAAUAUAGUGAUUCUUGCCCUUGAAAAUAAAAAAGUAGCAAGCAUAAAACACCUUAAUGAAGACAUAUUUACAGUGUCAUUUAUUUAGCAUAUACAUAUAUGCAAAAUUAAUCUUAAAAAUGUUAUUUUAAUGAAUGUCUGCUCUAUGUUUUUGGUAAUAAAUAUGCCUAACAUUUGUUUUACAAAUCCUGAUAUUUGGACUUACUGUUAAUUUAUGCAGUAUUUUGGAAACUACAGACUCUUCUUCUAAAAAGAACUAUAUGUAAUGAAAUCUUUACCAUUUCUAACAGUAAACUGAUUUUUAAAAAAGAUUUUAUUUAUUUAUUCGAGAGAGACAGAGAGUGAGCAAGAGUGGGCACAAGCAAGGUGAGGGGCAGAGGGAAAAGCAGACUCCCCACUGAGCAGGGAGCCCUCUGCAGGGCUCGAUGCCCUAACCCCAGGAUCAUGACCUGAGUCGAAGGCAGAUGCUUAACUAAACUGAGCCACCCAGGUGUCCCAGUAAACUGAUCUUUAUCUUUAUCUUCCUUUUUGUAUCACUUCUUUUGGUGCUUUUUCAAAUUGCUUGCCAAAUACUUUAAAGUUAUUACCCUGCCUCAUACUUUUAGUAUGAGGCAACUCAUACUUUUAGUAUGAGGCAACUCAUACUCAACUUUUUUGGACCCCAAACUAAUGAACAAGAGAUAACCAAAUGAAUAACACAAGCAAGAUGAAUCAUAUUGGAAAAUUAUUUUGCAAAGGAGAUAGGUAGUCAUCAUACUAGAAAGAGCUAGAGUUUGACAGUCUUGUGAGGCAGUAGAGCCAAAUGACAGAAGGAAGGGCACAAAUCACCCCAUUACUAAGGGAUCAGUUGACCUUCAGAACAUCCUACACAUUUCGUUCUGGCUCUUCAACAAGACGUGCACCUGGACACUGCCCAUAAAAAGUGAGACAAUACUCUGACAACCAGCCUGUUUGCUCCCCUCUCAAGAUAGAGCCUUUUCAAGAGACAAAACCAGGAGUUGAAGUUGUGAAAGUCAGGACUAUGCAGCACUUUUUAAAAAAUUGAGGGUAGCGGGUAGGAUUCCUUAACAAAAAUACCAGUCUGUUUUCUGGUUCAAUCUCAACAUAGUUCUGGUCAGAAGUUAUUCAACUAGAGGCCUCUGAGGAUGGAGAAAUGAAGCUAAGGACACAUAAAACUGGUUAGUUCUAGUGAUUGCAGUGCAGAAUGAAGAAGCAACUACUGUGUUGGUCUAACCUCAUGUGUAUACGGACAGAUGCAUCGUGCGUGCCAUCUGAUGUGUCUGCAUCCAAACUGAAGUGCCUUUUUUUGGAAAGGGAGGUAACUUUAUAGUGUAAAAUCAGAAUUUAGGGGUGCCUGGGUGGCUCAGAUGGUUAAAUAAACAUCUCCCUUCGGUUCAGAUUAUGAUCUCCAGGUCCUGAGGUCAAACCCUAUGUUGGGCUCCCUGCUCAGCUGGGAGCCUGCUUCUCCCUCUCCUGCUCCUCCCCCUGCUCAUGCGCUCUCUCUCUCUCUCAAAUGAAUAAAUAAAAUCUUAAAAUCAGAAUUUAGAAUCAAGAGGUUCCCAAAUAAGCCAAGAUAAAAUAAUAAUCUAAUUUUAAGUCCAUGUAGAUAAAGCAGUUAAAAUGUUUUCCUCAGGUGGUUAUGCUAUUGAAAAGAUGGAUAACUUUUUAUUAUUUGAUCUUCAGCUUGGAACUAUGACUAUUUUAGGUCACAAGUUAUAGACUGGUUUACAAAUAGCUUUGGACUUUGAAAUUGAGUGAGGGUCAUAUGAUCUCAGCAGUUUUCUCAGAGCCUGUGGUUGAACUCAUUAUGUAAUUAUGAAAUUUUUCAAGACAGCCUUUGAACCUCCUUGUACUAGAACUCUCUUCUUCUCAGCUCCUAAUGUGUUUCAUACAACUAUCCUAUCAUACAACUUCCUGACAUUCAUUUAUUUUUUUUUGAUCUGCUUCCAAUCCAGUCUCUUCUUUCUCCAUUCAUCAUACCAAGAUAUCUCAGUAUGCCUAUAAUAUCUCAUUUAGGAACCCCUUUGCACAUUUUAUUAAAAGGCAGUAAGAAUCUGAGACCUUUUCCUCAACUUCAGUUUAUAUCAACCUGUCAGCACCAUUUUUCCUCUCAUCAUUCCUUCACUUUGCUACUAAAAUUUUAAACCUACAGUUAAAAAAAAAAAACACAUAGUUUCCUAGCCUCUGUGUCUCUUUCUCUCUUUAGGACUUGUAAGAAUAUUUUACAUUAAGAUAUUCAUGCUCUUCGAAAUAUUUUGCAAACAUGACCCAAAGUAUUUCACUGUUCGUCUUGACUUGUGAGUUUAUUCCUUUUUAAAAUUUACUUGUUCAAUAAAUAUGAA